Molecule: ribosomal RNA, 484 nt
Filed under: uncultured bacterium
Lineage: Bacteria
Description: partial 16S ribosomal RNA
Rfam family: Bacterial small subunit ribosomal RNA
Source: RNAcentral
GACGAACGCUGGCGGCGUGCUUAACACAUGCAAGUCGAACGAUGAAGCCGGAGCUUGCUCUGGUGAAUUAGUGGCGAACGGGUGAGUAACACGUGAGUAACCUGCCCUUGACUCUGGGAUAACUGCGGGAAACUGUAGCUAAUACCGGAUACGACCCUCGGAGGCAUCUCCUGGGGGUGGAAAGAAUUUCGGUCAAGGAUGGACUCGCGGCCUAUCAGCUAGUUGGUGAGGUAAAGGCUCACCAAGGCGACGACGGGUAGCCGGCCUGAGAGGGUGACCGGCCACACUGGGACUGAGACACGGCCCAUACUCCUGCGGGCGGCAGCAGUGGUGAAUAUUGCGCAAUGGGCGCAAGCCUGAUGCAGCAACGCAGCGUGAGGGAUGACGGCCUUCGGGUUGUAAACCUCUUUUAGCAGGGAAGAAGCGAAAGUGACGGUACCUGCAGAAAAAGCACCGGCUAACUACGUGCCAGCCGCCGCGGUAA